AGGAAGGUAAGCUAAAAAUAAGCUACCAGGUUCAUACCCUGUUUAUAGAGACAAAUACUCUCCUCCCUA
This 69-nucleotide transfer RNA is filed under the name Cazira horvathi. RNAcentral's name for it is "tRNA-Met". The record is from RNAcentral. Lineage: Eukaryota; Metazoa; Arthropoda; Insecta; Hemiptera; Pentatomidae.